GCCACCAAGGCGACGAUUGGUAGCCGGACUGAGAGGUUGAACGGCCACAUUGGGACUGAGAUACGGCCCAGACUCCUACGGGAGGCAGCAGUCGGGAAUAUUGCGCAAUGGAGGAAACUCUGACGCAGUGACGCCGCGUGCAGGAAGAAGGUUUUCGGAUUGUAAACUGCUUUAGACAGGGAAGAAAGAAAUGACAGUACCUGUAGAAUAAGCUCCGGCUAACUAC
This 226-nucleotide ribosomal RNA is filed under the name uncultured bacterium. Its description in RNAcentral is "partial 16S ribosomal RNA". It matches the Rfam family "Bacterial small subunit ribosomal RNA", at positions 264 to 504 of the family's 1533-position model. The record is from RNAcentral.